AUCAACGCUGGCGGCGUGCCUAACACAUGCAGGUCGAACGCGAAAGCCCCGCAAGGGGUAAGUAGAGUGGCAAACGGGUGAGUAACACGUGGGUGACCUGCCUUCGAGUGGGGGAUAACGUCCCGAAAGGGACGCUAAUACCGCAUGACAUCCUGCUUUUGAAAAAGCGGAGAUCAAAGCUGGGGAUCGCAAGACCUAGCGCUUGAAGAGGGGCCCGCGCCUGAUUAGCUAGUUGGUGAGGUAACGGCUCACCAAGGCGACGAUCAGUAUCCGGCCUGAGAGGGCGGACGGACACACUGGGACUGAGACACGGCCCAGACUCCUACGGGAGGCAGCAGUGGGGAAUUGUUCGCAAUGGGCGCAAGCCUGACGACGCAACGCCGCGUGGAGGACGAAGAUCUUCGGGUCGUAAACUCCUGUCGAGCGGGACGAACGCUUCGCGGAUGAAUAAUCCGCGGAAUUGACGGUACCGCUAAAGGAAGCCCCGGCUAACUCCGUG
This 499-nucleotide ribosomal RNA is filed under the name uncultured bacterium. RNAcentral describes it as "partial 16S ribosomal RNA". It matches the Rfam family "Bacterial small subunit ribosomal RNA", at positions 32 to 507 of the family's 1533-position model. The record is from RNAcentral.